AGCCAAAUUUGAUCCUCCCCAGGUUUGUUAUUAUAAGUAUCAUGAGUGCUCAUGUUGUGAUGAUAAAUUUUUGUUUUUAUUUGAACUCUAUAGUUCAGCCUGAAUUUAUUUUCUAAUGAUUAAUGCCCUUGAAAUUUUCUGGACUGUCCUGGAGAAAUUUUAACCAAAUAUAUAUAACCCAAUUUUUUUGCAUAAACAAAUUUGAGAUUAUUAUGGCUGAUGUAAACAAUUCUGAGGCUGUAUAGCCUUUGAUGAUAUAUGUAUGCAUGCGUAUCUUGUUAUUCUUUCUACUUGGGUUCAGUCUAACAGGUUCUUACUACUUAGCUUAAGUUGGUACACAUGCCCAAUGCUAACUUACAUCUAUAUUUUUGCUUUCCUUUUAUUUCAAAUUUUGGGAAUCCCAUUAGCAAAUUCAGUUGUAAAAGAUAAUAGAUUGGGAAAAAAAUGAAUGACUUGAAAAACUGAUCGAUGAAUCUGAAUUUGAUAUCAGGGUAU
Molecule: unclassified non-coding RNA, 495 nt
Filed under: Hevea brasiliensis (rubber tree)
Lineage: Eukaryota; Viridiplantae; Streptophyta; Magnoliopsida; Malpighiales; Euphorbiaceae
Source: RNAcentral